Molecule: long non-coding RNA, 279 nt
Organism: Platichthys flesus (European flounder)
Lineage: Eukaryota; Metazoa; Chordata; Actinopteri; Pleuronectiformes; Pleuronectidae
Exons: 3
Source: RefSeq, a predicted model, not a curated record
ACCAUGUGUCUUUGUCUGUGUUCAUUGGUGCAGUUGACUAUGAGGUCAAGUACCUGGAGCUUGAAAUACUUGGUAAAGGAAGCUUUGGCUCAGUUUAUGCCGGCCAUAGGAGGUCUGAUGAUUUACUAGUGGCGAUAAAACACAUCCCCUAAUCGUCUGUUCCGCCUCAAAGAGUGAUGUUAAAUGGGAGGCCACACAGUAUUCCCAAGGAGGUGCUGCUCAUGCAGAAAGCUGCAGGCGAACCAAUGACUGUGGGUUAAUGGACUGGUACGAUCUGGA